This is a long non-coding RNA of Triplophysa dalaica, 1667 nucleotides long. RefSeq lists it as uncharacterized. The record is from RefSeq and is a predicted model, not a curated record. The transcript is spliced from 4 exons. Lineage: Eukaryota; Metazoa; Chordata; Actinopteri; Cypriniformes; Nemacheilidae.
AAAAUAAACAAUUGGGAAAUUAUGUUUUUGCUAUUAGUAUUUUUAACUUGUCAAUAUUAUUAUUUGUAGGCCGCCACCUGAUGAUAUGCAAGAACAGAGGUCAGAAGAUGUGUAUUCAGAAUCAGCCAAAAAGACUUUCUCUAAACCUCAUAUGCCAUCACCAAAGAGUCAACGGAAAUCCUGCUCUAUUGAAGAUUAUGAAGAUUAUUAUACUAAUAUUGAAGACCUCAACGUUUACGGCAACAUCUGAUGAAAAUGCAUCAUAUUUCUUAAAUGUGCUUUAUACAGGAUACGUUAAAAAAAUAUUUCCAAGGAAAGUAAAUAUUAGCAUCAAUAUUUUAUUUCACGCACAUUAUGCUUAUUGUCAUUUUGUAUGAAUCUUUUCGCAUUUUUUUUGCUGGAUGUGUCUGGUUUUUAAGUAUAGUCAAUCAUUAUUGAUAAAACAAUCGUUUUUUUAAAUUUCCGUCUGAAUUUAUGUCUAAUAAGGAAAUUUAACAUCCAAUUUAAAUCCAACCCUUGCUCUUUGAACCACACCAGGCAGUAAUUUAAACCAGAUAUAUAAUCUAUGAAAAAACAUGUAUAUCAUAAUGUAUAUGCAUAGGCAAAGAGGACAUUCAGACUUGUCAAGAUAAGAGUGAUACUGGAGCAAGUACAUGAAUAAAGCUUUUUGUGAAAAAUGGAUUAAAUAAAAAAAAAGUUAAAUAAUCUGCAUAAUGUUUACAAUCUGUACCUUAUGUUUACAGUAUGUAUUGUGCAUCCAGGUAAAAUUCAGCCGGCUUUGUCUGCCGUUUUGUAAGACCUUAUUGAGUUUACAACUCAUUAUUUCAAGGGAUAAUCCUUUUUCCCCUAGUGAUUCCGAUUUUUUUAACAUGUUGGUUUUAUUUCUCUGUCUGGAUGUUAUAAAUUGCACUGAGUAAAUAGAGCUUAUUAAAAUAAAAACUGUGGUCAUCUUCAUUUCAGGCUGCAAAGCAACAAAUGUAGAUUAUUUUUUGAAGGGUGUGACUCUUUUCUAUAUUUCUAUAUUUUCUAUAUGUUUGAAACAGAGGAGUGUGUCUGCGGUUUCUGGGACUUGUGUCCAUGUGUAUUUACCUCGUUGAUUAGUUUAACUCAUUCAUUUUCAUAUUUUAACUAUUUUAUAAUUUUUAUGGACGAAAACACUACAUUAUGACUUAUUUUUGCACAGUUUACUCCUUUAUUAAAGGUUUUAGGGUUUAUUUUUCAGAAUAGAGGGAAAGCAUGUGUUUCUCCUAUUCUCCCAAGACAUUUUGACUGUGUAAAUAAACAGAUGUUCAUUGGACAUUUUAUAAGCCUGACUAAAGUUUACAGUUUUGUACAUUCAAAUUAAGUGUUCCUGUACAUUACAUAAGAGAAGUAUAUUGAUAUUCGUGCAACACAAUACUGUGAUGCCGUGACUGUUAAAUUACGUCAUCAGGAGAGUGUGAUUAACUUGAACUUACCUUAUGUUGGACCAUACCAUUGGUUACAGCAAGAGGGUGUAUGAUGGGAGAUACUCAUCCCCUAGAAUGGUUUAAUCCAUCUCAGAUUUGUCUGGAAGCCUAGGUGUUUUAAACAGGCAUGGUAUGGUGCAGAGGAAACCCAUGCGAGAGGCUAGGUCUGCUACAAGACUGGCAGAGUCAAAUCACGACUUGGAGGACAUUGAUUAGUGU